CUGCAGGCUCUAGCUGGAAUUCAAGGGGGAAAGCAGACCGGUUGACCAAAACUGUGACCGAGGCAGGGGAAGGCCGGAGGGGGUGAUGGCAUCACAGAGGAGAAGGUUGAAAGGGGAAAAAAGAACUUCGCUUCCAUCUUGCACGCAGAUGCCUCCCCUGCUGUGGGGAGCAUAGCGUCUGCUGAUUCCAGUGAAGGGAUGAUUCAUCUGGAGCCAGCUGCUAAAUAGGACCAAAAAAUCAGUUCCGUUUUGAAGUUGAGGGCAACAUCAUGUUAAGGUAAUGAAGUGAAAUGACCCUUUCGUUCCAAUGUGUGUAUGAUGCGCGUCUUGAAGAAGACUUGAGAUUGCUGAGCUCUGUCUUUGGCAAAGCUGUAGAAAUCAACCAGAGACCUGCUUGACCAUGCUGAAGUAGCUAAGAAUGACCAACCUGACUCCUUUAUUUUAUGCUUCAGUUAAAUAAGAUGAGUUAAUUCAGAAUUGGAGUAAAUUCAGGGAAGAAGAAAGCACUAGUCAUUUUCGUGGGGUAAGUAAACCCAAUUUAAAAAUCACUAGGCAAAUACAUUCAAACUGGUUGCAUGAUUUCCUUUUGUGU
This 592-nucleotide long non-coding RNA is filed under the name Struthio camelus australis. Its description in RNAcentral is "lncRNA (ENSSCUG00000005719.1)". Lineage: Eukaryota; Metazoa; Chordata; Aves; Struthioniformes; Struthionidae. The record is from RNAcentral.